GAUAAAAAAAUAAGAGAUUGUAUCAAGAAUUAUGUACAAAAGAAUAUGAGAACGUCCUCUGGCAUCGAGGGAAUUGCACGUAUAGAGAUUCAAAAAAGAAUCGAUCUGAUCCAGGUCAUAAUCUUUAUGGGAUUCCCAAAAUUAUUAAUAGAAAGUCGACCGCGCGGAAUCGAAGAAUUACAAAUGACCUUACAAAAAGAAUUUAAUUGUGUAAACCGAAAACUAAAUAUUGCUGUCACAAGAAUUGGAAAACCUUAUGGAAACCCUAAUAUUCUUGCAGAAUUUAUAGCUGGANUCGCGCGGAAUCAAAGAAUUACAAAUGACCUUACAAAAAGAAUUUAAUUGUGUAAACCGAAAACUAAAUAUUGUUGUCACAAGAAUUGGAAAACCUUAUGGAAACCCUAAUAUUCUUGCAGAAUUUAUAGCUGGACAAUUAAAGAAUAGAGUUUCAUUUCGAAAAGCAAUGAAAAAGGCUAUUGAAUUAACAGAACAAGCGGAUACAAAAGGAAUUCAAAUACAAAUUGCGGGGCGUAUCGACGGAAAAGAAAUUGCACGUGUCGAAUGGAUCAGAGAAGGC
This 577-nucleotide long non-coding RNA is filed under the name Solanum pimpinellifolium. Its description in RNAcentral is "long non-coding RNA (SPIM_LNC000137)". The record is from RNAcentral. Lineage: Eukaryota; Viridiplantae; Streptophyta; Magnoliopsida; Solanales; Solanaceae.